Molecule: ribosomal RNA, 914 nt
Filed under: uncultured archaeon
Lineage: Archaea
Description: bacterial SSU rRNA
Rfam family: Archaeal small subunit ribosomal RNA
Source: RNAcentral
UUCCGGUUGAUCCUGCCGGACCUGACUGCUAUCGGAUUGAUACUAAGCCAUGCGAGUCAUUGUAGCAAUACAAGGCAGACGGCUCAGUAACGCGUAGUCAACCUAACCUAUGGACGGGAAUAACCUCGGGAAACUGAGAAUAAUGCCCGAUAGAACACUAUACCUGGAAUGGUUUGUGUUCCAAAUGAUUUAUCGCCGUAGGAUGGGACUGCGGCCUAUCAGUUUGUUGGUGAGGUAAUGGCCCACCAAGACUAUUACAGGUACGGGCUCUGAGAGGAGUAGCCCGGAGAUGGGUACUGAGACACGGACCCAGGCCCUAUGGGGCGCAGCAGGCGAGAAAACUUUGCAAUGUGCGAAAGCACGACAAGGUUAAUCCGAGUGGUUUGUGCUAAACGAACCUUUUGUCGGUCCUAGAAACACCGAUGAAUAAGGGGUGGGCAAGUUCUGGUGUCAGCCGCCGCGGUAAAACCAGCACCUCAAGUGGUCAGGAUGAUUAUUGGGCCUAAAGCAUCCGUAGCCGGCUCUGUAAGUUUUCGGUUAAAUCUGUACGCUCAACGUACAGGCUGCCGGGAAUACUGCAGAGCUAGGGAGUGGGAGAGGUAGACGGUACUCGGUAGGAAGGGGUAAAAUCCUUUGAUCUAUUGAUGACCACCUGUGGCGAAGGCGGUCUACCAGAACACGUCCGACGGUGAGGGAUGAAAGCUGGGGGAGCAAACCGGAUUAGAUACCCGGGUAGUCCCAGCUGUAAACUAUGCAAACUCAGUGAUGCAUUGGCUUGUGGCCAAUGCAGUGCUGCAGGGAAGCCGUUAAGUUUGCCGCCUGGGAAGUACGUACGCAAGUAUGAAACUUAAAGGAAUUGGCGGGGGAGCACCACAAGGGGUGAAGCCUGCGGUUCAAUUGGAUUCAACGCCGGA